GUGCUUGCUUCAGCAGCAUAUAUACUAAAAUUGGAACGAUACAGAGAAGAUUAGCAUGCCCCC
This 63-nucleotide small nuclear RNA is filed under the name Prolemur simus (greater bamboo lemur). The record is from RNAcentral. Lineage: Eukaryota; Metazoa; Chordata; Mammalia; Primates; Lemuridae.